AGUGAACGCUUGCGGUAGGCCUAACACAUGCAGGUCGAACGGCAGCACAGUAAGAGCUUGCUCUUACGGGUGGCGAGUGGCGGACGGGUGAGGAAUACAUCGGAAUCUACUUUUUCGUGGGGGAUAACGUAGGGAAACUUACGCUAAUACCGCAUACGACCUACGGGUGAAAGCAGGGGAUCUUCGGACCUUGCGCGAUUGAAUGAGCCGAUGUCGGAUUAGCUAGUUGGCGGGGUAAAGGCCCACCAAGGCGACGAUCCGUAGCUGGUCUGAGAGGAUGAUCAGCCACACUGGAACUGAGACACGGUCCAGACUCCUACGGGAGGCAGCAGUGGGGAAUAUUGGACAAUGGGCGCAAGCCUGAUCCAGCCAUACCGCGUGGGUGAAGAAGGCCUUCGGGUUGUAAAGCCCUUUUGUUGGGAAAGAAAAGCAGCAGGUUAAUACCCCGCUGUUCUGACGGUACCCAAAGAAUAAGCACCGGCUAACUUCGUG
This 492-nucleotide ribosomal RNA is filed under the name uncultured bacterium. RNAcentral's name for it is "partial 16S ribosomal RNA". It matches the Rfam family "Bacterial small subunit ribosomal RNA", at positions 29 to 507 of the family's 1533-position model. The record is from RNAcentral.